UUCAUAGGCACACACACCAUUCUUCUCCACUUAUCUUCUCCACAAAAACCACAUACUCUCACUCACACAAACCAGUGAAAGAAAACAGGGGAGAGAACACUCAAUUCUAUUUAUUCUCAUAUUCAUGCAUACACACAAUCACACCUACAUCUACUGAAAUGGCAUGACAGUAGGGAGAUGGGAGAGAGAGAGAUUAAGAGUGAAGAGAAAGAGAGAUCAAGCUUGGGAGAGGGAGAGAGAAAAAGAGAUCGAGCUCGGGAGAGAGAGAGAAAGAGAGAUCGAGCUUAAUUGAGAAAGAGUGGAAAGAUUUGGGAGAAAAAAUAGUCAGAGAAAUAGAGAACAUCGAGGAGAGGGGAGAACCACAAGAUUCGUUGUAUGUUUGACUGUUCCAGCGAAUAAAGACAGUGUUGUGUCAUUUUCUUUUGAGUGGAUUCUUGCGAGUAGGAUUAACUCUAGUGAGUUUUGGUAUGCGGGUUUCUUGGUCUCUUUGGCAACUUCGAUCUCAUUUUGUUUGAUAUUUCCUCUGUCUCGGGUUUAAACCUGUUCGAGUUUACUAUUCUUGAUAUCGAGUUGGUUGGUUAGUUGUUGGGGAUUUAUCGAGGAUUUUACAAGCUCGGACUCUCUUAAACAUUAUUAUCAACAGAAAUCGUCUAUUUGGAGAAAAGAAAGAAGACCUGAUACGAGCCAAACGACCAUCUAUGCUUUUGAAGACAUCAUUGGAUGCCAGUGCAUAAAGACUCAAGACUUGGUCACCUCAUGGACACAACAUACAUGAAUUACCCAUUUUGAGCAUUACAUAAGGUAAACCCGUGCGUGAAAGAUUGCGUGGGGGCUUACCUUUGAUGCCAACCCAAGACCGUAAGUGUUGAAGAAUGACCCCACGGUUUUGGAGUAUUGAAGAAGCACCCUUCAUUGCGGGUAUUUUGGGGAUUACACUUGUUGGAAAGACACUCCAUGGCCACCCCUUUCAUAAAGGGUAUUGUGGUCAUUUUUAUUAUGUAAUAAGCUAGCCUAUACAUAGACUUCUAUUAGGUCAUUUUCUCUUUAGUUUAUUGAUGAUGAUAUUGUGAAAAACUACUUCUCUCAUUGAGAGUGUAACACCUUUAGUGUAGGGCCUGGAAAAUCCAAUAUUGAUCUUUUCCUUAGAAACGGUGGUUUUAAGUGGAGUUGAUUCCCUUAGUGGUCACCGUAAGAAGAUUGGUGUUUGAUUAUUGCAACUUUGAGGGUCCCUUCGUUUGAUAUGCAUGUUGGUUCUCAUUGUUUCGUAAGAUCUUUAUGUCAUCUUGCCUAUCUUUACAUUAUUGCAUUGUUGUUUUUGUUUCUUGUGUCCCAUUCUCGGUUUAUUGUGUGUUGCUACCAUAGUUGUUUUUGUAUCUUGUUCUCAUUUUUCCUUGUGUUCUUGACUGGUUUUUGAGUUUCAUGGUUUGUCCGCUAUCAUUUGGUAUCAGAGCCAUCAUUGAUUUCAUUCCCACGAGAUCAAUCUUGGGCUUAUUCACUCGAAAAAUCAACCAAAAAAGUGUUAAAAAGCUGAAAAACUCAAAAAUAGUAAAGCUGUCCCAUUUUUGUGUUUAGGCCGAAGUUUGAAGCCUAAUUUUCUUGUGUUUUUUGUGUAUUUUGUUGUUUCUAGUGUUAGUCCCUUCUUCACUAACACUAAUAGAGUAAAAAUCUAAAAUUUGAGACAUUUUUUAGUUAUGUUUAGAUUUUGGGUAGGUUGUUGUUGUAGUUGAGGACUUGAGCUUGAGCCAUGUGUUGUCGUUGUGGUUGAGAAUUGGUCUUGAAAUUGUGGUAUUGUUAUUUGGGAGAUCAUGUAUGUUUGAAAAAUUCAAAAUUCAUUCAAUUUGGAGGUUAUUUUCUUAAGAUGCACUUUGAGUGUUCUUGGUGUUCUUCACCAUGUUGAUAAAUUGUUAACCAAGAACACUCCAAAUGUGUUGUUUGAUCUUGAAUAAAGUGGAAAUAAGGUGUGUUCUUUUUUUUGGCUGGAAAAAAAUUUCAAGACAACACCAAAGAAGAAAGUAGACAAAAGGCUUUCAAAAAGUGUUGUUGACAAAAAAGAGAAAGGGGCAUUUUCCAAGACAUACAAAAAAGGAAAAAGCCAAAAGUCUUUCAUAAAGGUUUUUAGCCAAAAAGGUGCAAGGAAGGUCAAACCUUUUUUAAAUUUGAAAAAGUCUCCAAGUCUUGUUUGUUCCCUACCAAAACCGAAUUUCCACGCUUCCAAAUUAAAUUUGACCAAUUCAAAUUCUCAACAAGAAAAAAAAACUGCCACAUCACCAAACUACCUCGUCAUCGAAGUGCCACAUCAUUAACGUUCCAAAUACCUUGAAGCUCAAAUUUAGAUUCUAAAUUUCUUUUCUUUGUUUCAUUAGUUUCAUUUCUUGAUUCUAAUACUAAUUAGCAACUAGUAAUCACCUACUAGAUUGUGAAUUAGUUUUGAAUUCAUCAUGUCUUCAUUAUAUGUGUGCUUUUCUCAUUUUUAAUUCGUCAUAAUUUUUUUGUUUCAAGUCCGUAAGCUGAUUUAUUUUUUGUGUCUUAAGUCGAUCAAAUAAGAAUCUAUUCCGGCUGCUAAGUAGGAUUGACAUCUUAUUGACUACCGAAGUAUAAGCAACUUUCAAUAUUCGUCGCUCCAAUUAUGAGGAUCAUAAAGGUGAGUGCAUACGAGUGUUGGUGAGGAGAUUUUACCACUAAUCUUGUUUGUUCAUUUUGUAGGUACAAGGUAUUAUAAGGGAACAUGUCUUUGAUAGCCGCAGAUUAUUAUGACUACUACAUAGGAGACUAUGAUUGUAGUGAGAGAUUUUAUGGCUACGAAGUUGUUGGAGAUUAUAGUGCCUAUGAAAAUAGCUAUGGUCAAGGCACGGACAGAUUUGAGGGUUACGGUUUUCAAGGGGAAAAUGAGGUGAAUGAAGUGUCUAGUGCUUAUGGUGAACAUGGAGAUGAUGAAGAGCCUUGUGAUGGUCCUUAUGAUGAAGUUGGGACGUAUGCAGGUUCUUACACUUCCCAAACCGAAACUAGAAUUGGUGCAAGGUAUAACCGUUUCAUUUGCAAAGCUUAUGAGAGCUAUGGUGAAGUUCACAUGUGGAGUGUGAAAAUUCAUAUUCUUCAACUUGUAGUACUUCUUAUCAAGGUUGACAUGGUUUGAAUGGUUAUACUAGUUAUAGUAGAGGUUGUCCAUGAGAAGAAGAGGGUAUGCAUCUCUAAAGUCGAAGGGUGAUCAUGUGCCUUACAAUGUUGAUCCAAGAAGGAAUGUUCACUUCGGAAAGGUGAUCAUUUAUGGGGUACUAGGAUGCCUCAUCAUUCUAGAUGAUAGGUGCUAUAAAAACUACAUCCUUCCAUCCAUGGUUGAUUAUUGGGGUUGUUUCAAUAACCUUUACUUGUUCCAUAUUCCUUGAACGGGUUUAAGGUUACCGAGAGGGUAAAGGUUGUCUUCUCCCAAUUUAAAUACCAUGAGGAGGUAUGGUGCGAUAUUUUUCCCUUGACAUAUGUUCAUGUAAGAUUAGGUGCCGAUUGGUUUUCACAACAUAAAGUUUCAAAUGUGCAAAAUUGGCCUAUUGUUGUAAGAGACUAAUGGGGAAAUUAUCUCAUUACAUCUAUUCUGCCCAAGCCGCAAAGAGAAGUGUUCACCUACUCCAAUCCAAAUUACUAUGAGAGACAAAAGAUUUAGAGGAGUAAGGGUGUGCAAGGUGGAAAUCCGAGAGUGAAAAAAAGAGAGGUUGUGAGGAGUAAAAGUGAGGGGAUUGCCACCAAACCGAGCUAACUAUAUUUGUCCUUUUAUUUCUAAGGACAUUUCUUCAGGUACCAACAUGGCAAGAGGGCGAGCACAAGGCCAAAGAGAAGUUGCUGCCAAAGCAUGCGAGGAACCUUCACACCACAGCAAACAAAAAUCUACUCAAGAACUUCAAGGUAAAAUAGCUAAAUCUUGCACUUUUGUGCAUGUGAAUGAUAAUUGUGUGGCUAGUAUCCCAUUGAGUGUGAGGUGUAGCUUGCCUAUAUGUGAGUCUAUUGUUUCUUUGCCACUUGAUGAUGAUGUACAUGUUGUGAGUAUGGAUAUACUAGUUUAUCCUUUUGAUGACUGAAUCGACUCUUCUUGUAAGAUCAAUUUAUGUCCACCUAGGUUAAAACCAUUGUGUUAAAUGAAAGUACAUCGUCUUGUAAAAUUUGUGUUGAUCAACUAAUGUGUGAAAAUUUCCCACCACUUGAGGAUGUGCGUGAUGUGAUUAAUGAAUCUCAAGUGUAUAAUGAUGUUGAAAAUAUUGAUCAAAGGAAUAGGAGUGAACCCCUGAGCUUGCCCUUUGAUUAUAAUAUUUGCUUGGCUCAUAAGGAUAAUCAUGUGCUUGAAACAUCUUUAAAACUUGAUAAUGAACUUUUAGAGAGUGAACUUACUUAUUCUUAAUCUACCUGCAGAAUAGAUCAUGCUCUUUUUUAGAUAUAAUGUCUUGUUUGAAGAUGGUAUAAUCACUCCCAAUGAAUCUAGUGGUAAGAAUGAUGGUAUAGAUUGUCUUGAAGGCUAUAGCCUAUACGCUAACCCAGUAUGGUGUGACAACAAUCCUUCUAAAGGUGGAAAUCUCUUUUUGAAAGAUGAGAGUACUCUUAAGGGUAAGGAAUGUGUAGUCCUUCUUGACAACCUGAGGGCAAAGGUGUCAUUGACUCAUUGGGGUAAUAUUUCUAAAUGUGCAUCCUUGCUUGACACGCUUGUGCUUAAAUUGCAUGAAUCCCAACUUUUGGAUGCCAAGUUGUCUAUUGUUUGAAGGAAAGAGAGUGUAUGUGCUUAAAUUCUGUCUUCACCCAUGCAUGUCUUUACACUUGAUUUUUUCCUAUACUACUUCUUUGUCUAUGAUGACAUCCAUGCUAGUUUUGGGUUUCCAUUAAGUAGAGGUAAAGGUCUUAUUGGUUGGUCCACUUGUUUGAGUGACAAUGCUAUGUGGGAUUGGUGUACUUUGAGACCAAUGGUAGCACCACGUUUGAAGAGGCCACUUGAAGAGGUAAUGAAACAAUUGUGCUUUAUGAUUCCUAAGACAAGGGUAGCCUUAUCUUUUGGACUUAGUGAUACCAUUAAAACCUUUGUAGUUUAUUUAUCUCUUGAUACUUGUCUUAGCCAUUUACUUUGUAAUAUUCUUACUAAACUUUUCAUGACUAAGACAAAGGAUUCAUGGUUAUAUCUCGAGUAUAUACCACCUUGGCAUGAUGAUGUCAUUUGUUAUACUAACUUUAACCCUCAUGCCAUGAGAAAGUUGUGCUUGCUUGUCCUUUCUUUAGUUUUGCAAGGUAUGGAUUCGAGGUUGAAUUCUUUUCAAGAAGGGGAGGAUGAUACGAGCCAAAUGGCCAUCUAUUCUAUUGAACACAUCAUUGUAUGCCAAUGCAUAAAGACUCGAGACUUGGUCACCUCAUGGACACAAGAACAUACAUGGAUGACCCAUUUUGGGCAUGACAUAAGGCAAAUCCGUAUGUGGAAGAUUGAGUGGGGGCUUACCUUUGAUACCAACCUGAGACCACAAGUGUUGAAGCAUGACCCCACGGUUGUGGAGCAUUGAAGAAUCACCCUUCAUUAAUGGUAUUUCGGGGAUUACACUUGUUGGAAAGACACUUCAUGGCUACCCCUUUCAUUAAGGGUAUUGUGGUCAUUUUUGUUAUGUAAUAAUCUAGCCUAUCUAUAUUCUUCUAUUAGGUCAUUUUCUCUUUAGUUUAUUAAUGAUGAUAUUGUGAAAGACUACUUCUCUCUUUGAGAGUGUAACACCUUUAGUGUAGGGCUUGGUAAAUCCAAGUUGUUAGUGUAGGACUUAGAAAAGCCAAUAUUGAUAUUUUCCUUAGAAAUGGUGGUUUUAAGUGGA
Molecule: long non-coding RNA, 5819 nt
Organism: Capsicum annuum
Lineage: Eukaryota; Viridiplantae; Streptophyta; Magnoliopsida; Solanales; Solanaceae
Exons: 2
Source: RefSeq, a predicted model, not a curated record